RNAcentral lists this ribosomal RNA (253 nucleotides) under uncultured bacterium. RNAcentral describes it as "partial 16S ribosomal RNA". It matches the Rfam family "Bacterial small subunit ribosomal RNA", at positions 524 to 776 of the family's 1533-position model. The record is from RNAcentral.
UACGUAGGGUGCAAGCGUUGUCCGGAAUUAUUGGGCGUAAAGAGCUCGUAGGCGGUUUGUCGCGUCUGCUGUGAAAACUCGGGGCUUAACCCCGGGCCUGCAGUGGGUACGGGCAGACUAGAGUGCGGUAGGGGAGACUGGAAUUCCCGGUGUAGCGGGGAAAUGCGCAGAUAUCGGGAGGAACACCGGUGGCGAAGGCGGUUCUCUGGGCCUUACCUGACGCUGAGGAGCGAAAGCGUGGGGAGCGAACAGG